RNAcentral lists this ribosomal RNA (468 nucleotides) under uncultured bacterium. RNAcentral's name for it is "partial 16S ribosomal RNA". It matches the Rfam family "Bacterial small subunit ribosomal RNA", at positions 28 to 507 of the family's 1533-position model. The record is from RNAcentral.
GACGAACGCUGGCGGCGUGCUUAACACAUGCAAGUCGAACGGAAAGGCCCUGCUUUUGUGGGGUGCUCGAGUGGCGAACGGGUGAGUAACACGUGAGUAACCUGCCCUUGACUUUGGGAUAACUUCAGGGAACUGGGGCUAAUACCGGAUAGGAGCUCCUGCUGCAUGGUGGGGGUUGGAAAGUUUCGGCGGUUGGGGAUGGACUCGCGGCUUAUCAGCUUGUUGGUGGGGUAGUGGCUUACCAAGGCUUUGACGGGUAGCCGGCCUGAGAGGGUGACCGGCCACAUUGGGACUGAGAUACGGCCCAGACUCCUACGGGAGGCAGCAGUGGGGAAUAUUGCACCAUGGGCGGAAGCCUGAUGCAGCAACGCCGCGUGCGGGAUGACGGCCUUCGGGUUGUAAACCGCUUUCGCCUGUGACGAAGCGUGAGUGACGGUAAUGGGUAAAGAAGCACCGGCUAACUACGUG